UACGUAGGGUGCGAGCGUUGUCCGGAUUUAUUGGGCGUAAAGAGCUCGUAGGCGGUCUGUCGCGUCGGAUGUGAAAACCCAGGGCUCAACCCUGGGCCUGCAUUCGAUACGGGCAGACUAGAGUACGGCAGGGGAGACUGGAAUUCCUGGUGUAGCGGUGAAAUGCGCAGAUAUCAGGAGGAACACCGGUGGCGAAGGCGGGUCUCUGGGCCGAUAUUGACGCUGAGGAGCGAAAGCGUGGGGAGCGAACAGG
Molecule: ribosomal RNA, 253 nt
Filed under: uncultured bacterium
Lineage: Bacteria
Description: partial 16S ribosomal RNA
Rfam family: Bacterial small subunit ribosomal RNA
Source: RNAcentral